RNAcentral lists this ribosomal RNA (731 nucleotides) under Melloconcha rosacea. RNAcentral describes it as "partial large subunit ribosomal RNA". The stretch from base 347 to 531 matches the Rfam family "Bacterial large subunit ribosomal RNA", at positions 1706 to 2023 of the family's 2925-position model. Lineage: Eukaryota; Metazoa; Mollusca; Gastropoda; Stylommatophora; Helicarionidae. The record is from RNAcentral.
UUAAAAAAGGUAAAUUUACUUUUCCCGAAAUAAAUGGAUCUAAUAAGUAAUAUUAUAUGUGUUUUAAAACAUAAUUUUAUUUUUUAUUAGGGGUGAAAGGCUUAUCAAUUUUUAGGAUAUCUGGAUUAAGUUAUAAUGUAUAUAGUACAGACAUAAUGUUGGGUAAAUUUCUGUUAAGGGAGAGUUAUUUUUAGAAAGCUAAAAUGAUAUUUAUUUAAGAUAACUUUAAAAUAAUCUUAUCUUAAAGUAGAUUUUUUUGUUUUACUUCUUUUUAUAAAACUUUUAAAAAUUUUAAUUAAAAAAUUUUUUAAUAAUGUUAAAAUAAGUAUUUUUAAGUAAACUUUAUUAAGGAACUCGGCAAAAUUUUAUUCAACUGUUUAUCAAAAACAUAGUUUUAUGUGUUUAUAUAAAAUGAAACCUGCCCAAUGAAGUUUUAAUGGCCGCAGUACUUUAACUGUGCUAAGGUAGCAUAAUAAUUUGGCUUUUAAUUAAAGUCUGGUAUGAAAGGAUUAAUGAAUAAAAACUGUCUUAUUGAGAUUAAAAAAAUUACUUAAAAGGUGAAAAUUCCUUUAGUAAGAUAAUAGACGAGAAGACCCUAGGAGUUUACAUUUUGUUGGGGCGACAUUUCAGUAAAAUAACCUAUUUAAAUAAUUUAACGAUUAUAUUAAUUAUAACUAAACUACCCUAGGGAUAACAGCAUAAUUUAAAAAAGAUUGUGACCUCGAUGUUGG